RNAcentral lists this ribosomal RNA (438 nucleotides) under Triticum aestivum (bread wheat). Its description in RNAcentral is "partial small subunit ribosomal RNA". The record is from RNAcentral. Lineage: Eukaryota; Viridiplantae; Streptophyta; Magnoliopsida; Poales; Poaceae.
AUGAUUAAAAUUAAAGAUCAUGAGUGUUAUGCUUUGUGUGAUUUGGGUGCUAGUGUUUCCACGAUUCCGAAAACUUUAUGUGAUAUUCUAGGUUUCCAUGAUCUUGAUGAUUUCUCUUUAAAUUUGCACCUUGCGGAUUCCACCAUUAAAAAGCCAAUAAGAAGGAUCAAUGAUGUUCUCAUUGUUGCAAAUAGAAAUUUGGUGCCCGUAGAUUUUAUCGUUCUUGAUAUAGAUUGCAAUCUUUCUUGUCCUAUUAUUCUUGGUAGACCUUUCCUUAGAACGAUUGGCGCGAUUAUUUAUAUGAAGGAAGGGAAUAUUAGAUUCCAAUUUCCAUUAAGGAAAGGCAUGGAGCACUUUCCAAGAAAGAAAAUUAAAUUACCUUAUGAAUCUAUCACGCGAGCUACUUAUGAAUUGAGUGCCAAAGAUGGCACUACUUAG